Tympanuchus pallidicinctus (lesser prairie-chicken) is the source of this 2319-nucleotide RNA transcript. It is a transcript of the gene named katanin catalytic subunit A1 like 2, with no coding region annotated. The transcript is spliced from 15 exons. NCBI's taxonomy places the organism in Eukaryota, Metazoa, Chordata, Aves, Galliformes, Phasianidae. The record is from RefSeq and is a predicted model, not a curated record.
AUCUAAGCAACAGUGCCCCACAUCUGUGUCAACAUCUGACCUCCCACUCUGUCUUCUGAUGGACAGCACAGCCAAGCAAGAGCUGAUCUGCUAUUAAAUAUCUUGAUGAUUCUGCUUAUUUGUUUCAGUUUCUGCAGCAACAGCAUCCUGUGUCAUUUCCAAGCACAUUUAGCAAUCCCUUGCUGAAAGGAUUUUUAAAUUCAGUUUGUGGAUUUGAUGACAGGUAGAGGUUAAAAAUACCAUUUACUUACUAAUGCCAUUGUUUCCCUUUUCUCUCAGAAACCACAAUGAGGUAAUAAUUCACAAUAUUGUGUUCUGUAGUAACUCACAACUUUCUGUUCUGUACAAGUCACAGCUUUUUGCUCAUUGCUUUCUUGUAAUUACCAGGUACAUGGAUGCUGCAAACACUUUGGAACGAGAGACAAAAUUAGGUUUACGUGGCUUUGAAGUUUGUGACAACGUUGACCUUGAGACAAUUUUGAUGGAAUAUGAAAGCUAUUACUUUGUAAAAUUUCAAAAGUAUCCUAAAAUCACAAGGAAGGUCCUGGACACCGCAGAAAAUAAACAGCAGCUGGGAACUGGAAGAAGGCAAAGAAGGGCAGCGAGCUCUCAGAAUCUCCCAAGGAUCAAGCAGCAGCCGAUGCAACAACCAUCAUCAAAAACCUCAUUGGGGAGUACAGAACUAAAAUCACCCACCAAAGAGAGCCCCAAACAGAAUAAUGAGAGCACAGUAACUCUGGAGCAACCUGACUUUGGCUUAAGCAUCUCAGCAAUCAACAGAACUGGAGGAGGAGGAGAAGGCCCUCCCCCAAGAAGGGGCCAAGUAGUUGACUUGCAUGGGAUGGUCCAGGAUGUCAAAGUAUCCCCAAAUGGAGUAGGUUUAAACAGCCUUACUUGGGAUCCAGACCCAUCGGAACGCUUACUGAAACCCCUUAGUGCUUUUAUUGGCAUGAAUGGUGAGAUGAGAGAACUUGCAACUGUUGUAAGCAAAGACAUUUAUCUCCAUAACCCAAACGUGAAAUGGGAUGAUAUCAUUGGCCUGGAUGCAGCUAAGAGGCUCGUCAAGGAAGCAGUUGUUUAUCCUAUAAGGUACCCUCAGCUAUUUACAGGCAUUCUGUCUCCAUGGAAAGGCUUAUUGCUGUAUGGACCACCAGGUACUGGCAAAACAUUGCUUGCUAAGGCUGUUGCCACAGAGUGCAACACAACAUUUUUCAACAUAUCAGCAUCCACCAUUGUCAGCAAAUGGAGAGGUGAUUCAGAAAAGCUUGUCCGGGUGCUGUUUGAGCUUGCCCGCUACCAUGCUCCUUCCACAAUUUUCUUGGAUGAACUGGAGUCUGUGAUGAGCCAAAGAGGCACCAUCUCUGGUGGUGAACACGAAGGAAGUCGGCGGAUGAAAACAGAAUUACUGGUGCAGAUGGAUGGCUUGGCCAGAUCUGAUGAUCUUGUAUUUGUUUUAGCAGCUUCCAAUCUGCCAUGGGAGUUGGACUCUGCCAUGCUGCGGCGGCUGGAGAAGAGGAUUUUGGUUGACCUCCCAAAUCAAGAGGCACGGCAGGCAAUGAUCCAGCACUGGCUGCCACCUCUGAGCAAUGGUGGAGGAGUGGAGCUGAGAACCGACCUGGACUACAGCUUGCUGGGCCGGGAAACCGAUGGGUACUCUGGCUCAGACAUCAAACUUGUGUGCAAGGAAGCAGCCAUGAGACCAGUGAGGAAAAUUUUCGAUGCCCUUGAAAACCAUCAACCAGGUAACAGUAACUUAGCUACAAUCCGCUUGGACACGAUCACAACAGCAGAUUUCCUGGAUGUGAUCACCCACACCAAACCUUCAGCAAAGAAACUCAGCCAGAAGUACACAGCUUGGCAGAGAGAGUUUGAAUCGGUCUGAGAAGAAAAAUCCCCAAAGACUGAGUACUUCAAGGACUUUCACUAUCCAAAAUGGCAGUUGUGUCACCUCCAAAGGACUGAGUGGUGAUGGAGAAGGGAGUGCUGAGUUUCUAGGAGAAGAGAAACCAAUAGAAAAUGUCAAAGGACAUGAAAACUCCAGCCUAAACUUCAAGUAUAAAGAUCUAAAGAUGGAUUGCUUUUCAGUCCUUAUUCUCAGUAGCUGUUUACAGGUUUGGAGUCCAAGAACCGGAGCAGGUGAUGAGGGUAACCCUCCUUUCUGAGACUCACUAAAACAUCACAAUCACCACAGCUCUGCAGAAACCUGUGUGCCUUUUUAACCAAGCCUAAGAUUUUACUUAAGAGAUCUCUCACCUCCCUGACCUGACUUGGACUGCAGUCCACAAACCUCCUGUAUGCAGUCCACCAACAAACGACACA